Molecule: ribosomal RNA, 471 nt
Filed under: uncultured organism
Description: partial 16S ribosomal RNA
Rfam family: Bacterial small subunit ribosomal RNA
Source: RNAcentral
ACUCCUGCGGGAGGCAGCAGUGGGGAAUUUUGGACAAUGGGCGAAAGCCUGAUCCAGCAAUGCCGCGUGAGUGAAGAAGGCCUUCGGGUUGUAAAGCUCUUUUGUCAGGGAAGAAACGGUGAAAGCUAAUAUCUUUUGCUAAUGACGGUACCUGAAGAAUAAGCACCGGCUAACUACGUGCCAGCAGCCGCGGUAAUACGUAGGGUGCAAGCGUUAAUCGGAAUUACUGGGCGUAAAGCGUGCGCAGGCGGUUUUGUAAGUCUGAUGUGAAAUCCCCGGGCUCAACCUGGGAAUUGCAUUGGAGACUGCAAGGCUAGAAUCUGGCAGAGGGGGGUAGAAUUCCACGUGUAGCAGUGAAAUGCGUAGAUAUGUGGAGGAACACCGAUGGCGAAGGCAGCCCCCUGGGUCAAGAUUGACGCUCAUGCACGAAAGCGUGGGGAGCAAACAGGAUUAGAAACCCGGGUAGUCCCA